RNAcentral lists this long non-coding RNA (1170 nucleotides) under Mus musculus (house mouse). RNAcentral's name for it is "predicted gene 15473, transcript variant 2 (Gm15473)". The record is from RNAcentral. Lineage: Eukaryota; Metazoa; Chordata; Mammalia; Rodentia; Muridae.
AGAGCGCUGCUUCCCCAGGCAGGAAGCGGUGUCAGCCACCACCUCGCCUAAGACUUCGCCCAGGGCUUGGGGGAAGGCGUGGCCGAAAGGUUUUCCGAAAAGUUUCAGGCGCAGAGACAGCGAGUUGCAGGGUCCCGCUCCGCAGCGACAGUCACCCAAGGGAUCGGGGUCCGGGGAGUCAUCCUCCAGCCGCACCCACCGGGUCUGGUCCCGGAACCCGGACCAGCUCCCGCGCUCAGGUGAGGCGACCACGCCCGUCGCCCGCCCCACUCACCUUCUUCAUUUUGGUUUCCAGGUCCAUACUGGGCGUCGGAGGGGCUCAGUCCCGCGUCCGCGAUCUCCGCUGCGGGAACUCCGGCGCCGCUGCCGCUGCUACUCAGCAUGGGCACUCGAACUUCCGCAGCCCGGUUCGGCAGCGGCUGGGACCUGGAACAAAGAGGCCCUGGCAGCCAAUGGCAGCGGGGCAGUGCCGGGUAGCGGCCAAUCAGCGCGCGCCGCACGCACCUUCGCAGCCAGAGCGUGCCGCUAGCAAGAGUCCUGUGCACUUCCAAGGAAGCUUCUCUCACAUCGUUGAUGCCCAUCAAGACUACCACUAUAUUGUUUUGUGAGCACUCAACACUAAAAAGCAACGGGAGGCUCACAGCAACUACUGCAGAACUAUUGCGGAAAGAACCUCAUCUUGGAUUGUUGGGGCGUGGAGGACCCUAGGGAUUAAUUUACUUCAUACAUCUUGCAAGGAUCUGUAGGCCCCGAAGUACAGGCACCUCUCAGAUACAACAUAUUGGGAACAGAGCUUGAGUCCCAGUAAAUUGGGGGGACAGGGGGUGUGAGUUAAUUAUGCAUCUAUGUGUGAGCAUGCCUACUUUUGAGAGCAGGUUCACUUAGAGCCCAGAAUAAGUAGAAUCUUCUGAGGUUGGAGUUCCAGGCCGCCGUGAGGCCCCUGCCUUGGGGGAUGGGAACUGAAAUCAAGUCCUCUGCAAGAGCAGCAGGAGCUUUUAACAACAGAACCAUCUCUCUAGCCCGAAGUAAUUUUAUUCAGUUCCUACUACAUAGAAAUUGUUGAUGGCUAGGUAUCUGGUGAUCUCCUAGUCCAGCGUCUACAUAUGCAUAUGUAUAUAUGUUUUCCUCUAUAUGCACGUGAUAUUAAAAAUAAAAUCUCCAUAUAAUGCA